GACGAACCGUGCGAACGUUGUUCGGAUUCACUGGGCUUAAAGGGCGCGUAGGCGGGUGGCCAGGUCGGGGGUGAAACCUUUCGGCUCAACCGGAAGCCUGCCCCCGAUACCGGCCGCCUGGAGGGGGGUAGGGGCACGCGGAACUUCCGGUGGAGCGGUGAAAUGCGUAGAUAUCGGAAGGAACGCCGGCGGCGAAAGCGGCGUGCUGGACCCUCCCUGACGCUGAGGCGCGAAAGCCAGGGGAGCGAACGGGAUUAGAUACCCCGGUAGUCCUGGCCCUAAACGAUGGGUACUAGGUAGUGGGCCGGACAUGGGCUCACUGCCGGAGCCAAAGUGCUAAGUACCCCGCCUGGGGAGUAUGGCCGCAAGGCUGAA
RNAcentral lists this ribosomal RNA (375 nucleotides) under uncultured bacterium. RNAcentral's name for it is "bacterial SSU rRNA". It matches the Rfam family "Bacterial small subunit ribosomal RNA", at positions 524 to 898 of the family's 1533-position model. The record is from RNAcentral.